Molecule: transfer RNA, 75 nt
Filed under: Pseudomonadota bacterium
Lineage: Bacteria; Pseudomonadati; Pseudomonadota
Description: Proteobacteria bacterium tRNA-Ile
Rfam family: tRNA
About the family: Transfer RNA (tRNA) molecules are approximately 80 nucleotides in length. Their secondary structure includes four short double-helical elements and three loops (D, anti-codon, and T loops).
Source: RNAcentral
GGGCCCGUAGCUCAGUGGUAGAGCAGCCGGCUCAUAACCGGCAGGUCGCAGGUUCGAUCCCCGCCGGGCCCACCA